AGAGUUUGAUCCUGGCUCAGAUUGAACGCUGGCGGCAUGCCUUACACAUGCAAGUCGAACGGUAACGCGGGGGCAACCCUGGCGACGAGUGGCGAACGGGUGAGUAAUACAUCGGAACAUAUCCAGUAGCGGGGGAUAACCUAUCGAAAGAUGGACUAAUACCGCAUACGAUCUACGGAUGAAAGCAGGGGACCGCAAGGCCUUGCACUAUUGGAGUGGCCGAUGUCGGAUUAGCUAGUUGGUGGGGUAAAAGCUUACCAAGGCGACGAUCCGUAGCUGGUCUGAGAGGACGAUCAGCCACACUGGAACUGAGACACGGUCCAGACUCCUACGGGAGGCAGCAGUGGGGAAUUUUGGACAAUGGGCGCAAGCCUGAUCCAGCCAUGCCGCGUGAGUGAAGAAGGCCUUCGGGUUGUAAAGCUCUUUCGGUGAAGACGAAACGGUUCAUGCUAAUAACGUGAACUAAUGACGGUACUCACAGAAGAAGCACCGGCUAACUACGUGCCAGCAGCCGCGGUAAUACGUAGGGUGCAGGCGUUAAUCGGAAUUACUGGGCGUAAAGCGUGCGCAGGCGGUUUGCUAAGACAGGUGUGAAAUCCCCGGGCUUAACCUGGGAAUUGCGCUUGUAACUGGCAAGCUAGAGUGUGGCAGAGGGGGGUGGAAUUCCACGUGUAGCAGUGAAAUGCGUAGAUAUGUGGAGGAACACCGAUGGCGAAGGCAGCCCCCUGGGUUAACACUGACGCUCAUGCACGAAAGCGUGGGGAGCAAACAGGAUUAGAUACCCUGGUAGUCCACGCCCUAAACUAUGUCAACUAGUUGUCGGGGAAGAAAUUCCUUGGUAACGAAGCUAACGCGUGAAGUUGACCGCCUGGGGAGUACGGCCGCAAGGUUAAAACUCAAAGGAAUUGACGGGGACCCGCACAAGCGGUGGAUUAUGUGGAUUAAUUCGAUGCAACGCGAAAAACCUUACCUACCCUUGACAUGCUAGGAAGCCCGCAGAGAUGUGGGUGUGCCCGAAAGGGAACCUAGACACAGGUGCUGCAUGGCUGUCGUCAGCUCGUGUCGUGAGAUGUUGGGUUAAGUCCCGCAACGAGCGCAACCCUUGCCAUUAGUUGCUACAUUCAGUUGGGCACUCUAAUGGGACCGCCGGUGACAAACCGGAGGAAGGUGGGGAUGACGUCAAGUCCUCAUGGCCCUUAUGGGUAGGGCUUCACACGUAAUACAAUGGUCGGUACAGAGGGCUGCCAACCCGCAAGGGGAGCUAAUCCCAGAAGGCCGAUCGUAGUCCGGAUUGUAGUCUGCAACUCGACUGCAUGAAGCCGGAAUCGCUAGUAAUCGCGGAUCAGCAUGUCGCGGUGAAUACGUUCCCGGGUCUUGUACACACCGCCCGUCACACCAUGGGAGUGGGUUCCACCAGAAGUAGUUAGCCUAACCGCAAGGAGGGCGAUUACCACGGUGAGAUUCAUGACUGGGGUGAAGUCGUAACAAGGUA
RNAcentral lists this ribosomal RNA (1492 nucleotides) under metagenome. RNAcentral's name for it is "bacterial SSU rRNA". It matches the Rfam family "Bacterial small subunit ribosomal RNA". The record is from RNAcentral.